GGUGGCUCAUUGGUAGAGCACUUGCCUUGCAUGCAUGAGGCCCUGGGUUCGAUUCCUCAGCACCA
RNAcentral lists this transfer RNA (65 nucleotides) under Dipodomys ordii (Ord's kangaroo rat). It matches the Rfam family "tRNA". Rfam says of the family: Transfer RNA (tRNA) molecules are approximately 80 nucleotides in length. Their secondary structure includes four short double-helical elements and three loops (D, anti-codon, and T loops). Lineage: Eukaryota; Metazoa; Chordata; Mammalia; Rodentia; Heteromyidae. The record is from Rfam by way of RNAcentral.